RNAcentral lists this small RNA (715 nucleotides) under Pongo abelii (Sumatran orangutan). RNAcentral describes it as "processed transcript". The record is from RNAcentral. Lineage: Eukaryota; Metazoa; Chordata; Mammalia; Primates; Hominidae.
AUAACGUUCUACCUCUAACGGCUCCGUCCAGAGUUUUGGUUUGGCUAGGGAAAGCAGAACCAGAAAGAAGAAUGGGGAGAAGGAAGUAUUUCCGCCUAAGGAGGCACCCCGAAAGGGGAAGCGAGGCCGGAGGCCCAGCAAACCCCGACUGAUUCCCAGGCAGACGUCUGGGGGCCCCAUCUGCCCUGACUGCGGCUGUACCUUCCCUGAUCAUCAGGCCCUGGAGAGCCACAAGUGCGCCCAAAAUCUAAAAAAGCCUUACCCUUGCCCAGACUGUGGGCGCCGCUUUUCCUAUCCAUCCCUGCUGGUCAGUCACCGGCGGGCACACUCCGGCGAGUGCCCCUAUGUUUGUGACCAGUGUGGCAAACGUUUCUCCCAGCGUAAGAACCUCUCCCAGCACCAGGUUAUCCAUACAGGUGAGAAGCCCUACCACUGCCCUGACUGUGGUCGCUGCUUCCGGAGGAGCCGGUCCUUGGCCAAUCACCGGACCACACACACAGGCGAAAAACCCCACCAGUGCCCUAGCUGCGGACGUCGCUUCGCCUACCCCUCCCUGCUAGCCAUCCACCAGCGUACACACACGGGAGAGAAGCCCUACACCUGCCUCGAGUGCAACCGCCGCUUCCGCCAGCGCACGGCCCUCGUCAUCCACCAGCGCAUCCACACGGGCGAGAAGCCCUACCCGUGCCCGGACUGCGAGCGGCGCUUCUCCUCC